AAGAAGAAGAAAAAAA
Molecule: small RNA, 16 nt
Filed under: Arabidopsis thaliana (thale cress)
Lineage: Eukaryota; Viridiplantae; Streptophyta; Magnoliopsida; Brassicales; Brassicaceae
Description: ATSL139520
Source: RNAcentral